GGUCCAAUGAUGUGUGCAGGUGCCUAGCUCUGUGUAAUCUGGGGACACAUUGUAUCAGAUGGAACAAUCACUUCCUCCCUGGCUACUUAGUUGAAAAUAUAUAUUUUUAUGGCUUAGAAAAUUCCAUCUCCCGAUCUCUGAGGAUGCGUGAAACUUCUUAAUUACAUCCACACUAUGAUUGUAUCUGUUCUAUCGGGCUUCAGAUAUUUCCAGUGCUUUUAACUGAAUGCGUUUUUUCAUUAAUGUGAAAGUCUCGCUAUCUGACUAAAAGGAUUUUAUCAUAAUGGCAAGACUCUCAAAUCAUUCCCUUUGUUGCAGAGGAAUCAUCAGUGACCCGUCUUAUCUGU
Molecule: non-coding RNA, 347 nt
Organism: Pelobates cultripes (western spadefoot toad)
Lineage: Eukaryota; Metazoa; Chordata; Amphibia; Anura; Pelobatidae
Source: the annotation of a GenBank genome assembly